CAUAGGUUAAUGAGGCGAACCGGGGGAACUGAAACAUCUAAGUACCCCGAGGAAAAGAAAUCAACCGAGAUUCCCCCAGUAGCGGCGAGCGAACGGGGAGGAGCCCAGAGCCUGAAUCAGUGUGUGUGUUAGUGGAAGCGUCUGGAAAGGCGCGCGAUACAGGGUGACAGCCCCGUACACAAAAAUGCACAUACUGUGAGCUCGAUGAGUAGGGCGGGACACGUGGUAUCCUGUCUGAAUAUGGGGGGACCAUCCUCCAAGGCUAAAUACUCCUGACUGACCGAUAGUGAACCAGUACCGUGAGGGAAAGGCGAAAAGAACCCCGGCGAGGGGAGUGAAAAAGAACCUGAAACCGUGUACGUACAAGCAGUGGGAGCCUCUUAAUGGGGUGACUGCGUACCUUUUGUAUAAUGGGUCAGCGACUUAUAUUCUGUAGCAAGGUUAACCGAAUAGGGGAGCCGAAGGGAAACCGAGUCUUAACUGGGCGUUAAGUUGCAGGGUAUAGA
RNAcentral lists this ribosomal RNA (506 nucleotides) under Escherichia coli. RNAcentral describes it as "partial 23S ribosomal RNA". It matches the Rfam family "Bacterial large subunit ribosomal RNA", at positions 165 to 713 of the family's 2925-position model. The record is from RNAcentral. Lineage: Bacteria; Pseudomonadati; Pseudomonadota; Gammaproteobacteria; Enterobacterales; Enterobacteriaceae. RNAcentral also lists the same sequence under 1 other name.